This 497-nucleotide ribosomal RNA is filed under the name uncultured bacterium. RNAcentral's name for it is "partial 16S ribosomal RNA". It matches the Rfam family "Bacterial small subunit ribosomal RNA", at positions 28 to 507 of the family's 1533-position model. The record is from RNAcentral.
GAUGAACGCUGGCGGCGUGCCUAAUACAUGCAAGUCGAGCGAACAGAUGAGGAGCUUUCUCUUCUGACGUUAGCGGCGGACGGGUGAGUAACACGUGGAUAACCUUCCUCUAUUUCUUGGAUAACUUCGUGAAACCGGUGCUACUACCGGCUAAUAUAUUCAACCGCAUGGAUCAAUAGUUAAUGACGGUUUUGCUGUCUCUUUUAGAUGGAUCCGCGCCGCAUUAGCUAGUUGGUAAGGUAACGGCCUACCAAGGCAACGAUGCGUAGCCGACCUGAGAGGAUGAUCAGCCACACUGGAACUGAGACACGGUCCAGACUCCUACGGGAGGCAGCAGUGGGGAAUAUUGGACAAUGGGCGAAAGCCUGACGCAGCAAUGCCGCGUGAGUGAAGAAGGUCUUCGGGUCGUAAAGCUCUGUUAUUAGGGAAGAAAAGAUGUGUGAGAAAAUAUGCACGUCUUGACGGUACCUAAACAGAAAGCAACGGCUAACUACGUG